RNAcentral lists this long non-coding RNA (6363 nucleotides) under Brassica napus (rape). RNAcentral's name for it is "long non-coding RNA (BNAP_LNC023101)". The record is from RNAcentral. Lineage: Eukaryota; Viridiplantae; Streptophyta; Magnoliopsida; Brassicales; Brassicaceae.
ACCAUAAUAGGAGAGAGAGUUGAUUAAAACUCCACAAACAUAAAACAUUACAACAUAAAAAAUAGCUAGAGCUCUUAGAUAGAGAAACAGUGAAUUCAAAGUAAAAGUUGAGUGCGUUGAAACAGUUUCACGGCACCGUCGGAAACUUGAGAUUUGGUCACUUUAAAUUGUGACAUUUGCAUUCAAUCCGCACCUCUGAAUAUUGUCAGGACAAAAUCCGUUGUAACUUUAGGCCCCGAAUGGACCGCUACACAAGAUAGCAAAACGGUUACAGAUAUGGAUAGACAAUUCCAUUUAAGGGAAAUACUCCUUAAAAGGACGCAAUAGAUGAAUAGAGAAAAAGGUUUGCUUCUCCAAAGAGAAGGAUGCUAGAGGUGAUCAAGAUGGUAACUCGUGGCCAUAAAAUUAUGUGCUGUGAAGUUAAUGGGCUGAGAACCCGAAGAAUAAAGUUCACUGGGCUUAUCAGGCUCAUAAUAACUAUGUGAUGGCCCACCAGCCCAAGAGAAGUAACGGAUUGACCUCGUUGGGAAGUGAAGAAUGGUGUAGCCAGAGCGGCGGCGACUGACAAGCGGUUGGGAUAGGUUCAGUGAGUGGAGAGACAUCGGAUUGGACCUCCGAUCUGCUGCUUGGUGUGGAUAGGAACAAAGCAGGCUGAAGCCCAAGAGUGUAGUAGGUGGAGACGGCGGAGAGCACAGAUGCAUGGACCAACAAGAAUCUGAAUCUGAAAAUCGAGUUAUAUGUGGAACCCCUCGAACACAGGAGGUCGAGACGUCGAAAAUUGUGGUUUGAAGUUGAGCUUGCGGUGAGGUUGACGGGAGGUUCUGUAAGCUGGAAAAGCACCAGAAUGGAGAGGUUGGGAUUUACAGAUCUGAGGUUUAGAAACACAGAUCUUAGUCGUAGUGGGGACGGACCAGAAAGGAGGAGACAGUGAGCAAAUGAGGUAAAUAGAUUCACAUAUCGGGAGCCUCCAGAGAAGAAAAAAACGGCUGUAGAAACGUUCGACCAAGUUGGAUCCAUCGGAGCAAUGGGUGACAGAAAACGUGAGCUUGAAACGAGAAGAGCUGCGAGAGGAAGACACGGAGGUGGAGAAGCCCGAUGCCGGCAAGCUGUGGCUCUACCGACAUCAUGAAGCAGCGGGAGAACUUGCACAUCAAUAUUCGGACCUGGCAGAGAGUAUAUGCAAGAUGAUUGAUUAGAUCUAAUUGAUCUUGAUAUGUGAUUGAUCAAUCUUUUGGACAUGGUCGAUGGUUUUUACUCGAAGGACCCUUGAUUGUAGCACGAAUUCACUUCCCAGGAUGGUCGAUGGUCUCAACCAUUGUCUUUAUCAGACUGAUAGAAAACAUAUCAAAAAUCUCCCGAUCACUGCCCAGAUCCACAACAACUAUUAUGUACAAUUCAGCGUCCAUAAUUUCACUUUCCAUAUUUUAUUUGUUCACAACUUCUCCAUCAACAAUUAAUUUGUCAAAAUUCAUCCAUAUACACAUCAUAUUAUCUCCAGUAAAUUAUUCACACUUUGUCCACUAUACGAUGUUCAUCAUAUUUUAGUUUUUUACAAUAUUAAUUUAUACUCCCUCCGUUCCUUAAAAAUACAUAUUCUAAAGAAAAAUUUUGUUUCUAAAAGAUUCAUUUUUUUUACAUUUUCAAUGCAUGCUUUAUUAACUAAUUGCAAAAUUCAAAAAUCUUAAUUGCACUAAUUGAUUUUUUAUUAGUUUAAAAUUGUGGAAAGAAAAUAAACACAAAAAUUUAUGUAAAUUUAAUGUGUUUUAUUAAAAUAUGUGAAAAAAUUAGAAUAUGGAUCUUUUAGAAACAUAUGGAGUAUAUUUUAAAAAUAUGAAAGUAGAUAUCAGUUAAGGAUAUAACAUGAAGUGUAGCUCCAUUAUUAUUUUGUACCAAUUAUUUUGUUUUUAUUUCUAUUUUACAUCUUAGCCACACAAUACUACUACCUAAUUCUAAAAUCAAGGUUUAGAUCUCUUGUUGUUACAAUUUAUUACCUUUUUUGAACAAACCUUCGUUAAAUUAAAAAAACUCAGACAGAGUUAUGGAGCUCUAGCAGAGCUACACCUUAUGUAAAGCAUCUGCAUUGGCAUUGUUAGGCCAACAUUAUCGGCGUCCCAGCAGGCCGUCCUUAGGCGAAACGGGCCGAAAAAUAAAUCAAAAAUAAGAGAAUAGAAGAGAGACGUGGGUUAAUUAAGAAGUGUCAAACCUCAUCCUUAAAGAGCACGUGGCACGGUUUGAUUGGAAACCCGAAAGGGGUAGAGGAAACACGAAGGUCGGUUUCGAAUAAUCUUGGUCUCGACUCCUUUCUCUCUAUUUCGACGGCGAUUUCGACACGACGACGGCGAUUUUCGACGCGACGACACCGAUCAGUCGUUUAAUCGAAGACUUCUCCGCCAAAUCGAAUAUAGACGAGGUAUGUGCUCUUCUCUCUGUUGUGACGAUUUCGUUGCAUGCAUCGUGUUUGUAGGGGAAAGACGAGUUUCGGUGUGGAAAUCAUUCUCGGCGUCUCCCUAUUAUCUCUCUCUCGACGGCGAUCCAAUUGAAACCAGGUUUGUGUUUCUUCUAUCUCCGUCUUGGUUUGAUUUUUUUUUUUGUGCGAUAUAGAGCUUAGUAUUGAUGAGUUGAUCUAUCUACGUCUGGGUUUGAUAUUUUUUUUGUUGUGACGAUGCUUCCUGAUUGUGAUGGUUUGUAAUUGUGAUGGUGUGUAAUUUUUUUCUCAGUUGGUUUUAAUGCUAAAUUUCUCAUAUGUGAAUUCUUUUGAUCGAGUAAACAAAAUUGUUCAUGCGUUUAUGCUAAUUGUUCAUAAUUCUCUCAUAGUUUUGACGUUGAAUAACACUAGAUUUUAAAAUAGAAUUUAAAAUCAUCACUCGAAUUAUGAUAGGUUGUGUUUAGAUUUAAAGUCUAUUAAAAUACAUCGUUGAAUAUACUUUUACUCUAUAGAAAUAUAAAUAUAAUAUAUAUCUAAAUAAAUAAUAUAUAUAUAUAUAUAUCAAAAAAAGUUUUUGAAUGGAAAGAUCUUUUAACUUUUUGAAACUUUUAUUUCGAAAUUCUUCUUUUUUAUUUUUUAUUUUAAAUAUGAAUAUUCUUUUUUGAAACUAUUUUAAAAUUAUUAUUUUAAAUCUUAAUUAUUAUUAUUACCUCUCACAGAGGGUUCUUGAGAAGAUUGAUUACAUGGCUCCUAUUCUGGGACUCACUCACCAACCAACUACCAUUUUGAAUAUCUUCAUCAACAAUAAAAUAAGAGGCAUACUGGAAACACUUGGGCCUCUAUCUCAUGUUUGUUGUGACAGUGGACCAUGUCGAGUCUGAUUAUCAAGCCAAGUCUUUGCCGAGAUACUUGAUCAACUUCGUACAUAAAAAACCGGCAAGCAAGAGUACAGAGCUUGCAAAGCCUCUUCCUAAUCCAACUGCCUGCUCUAGAAGAGUCCACAUUCCAAAAAUACUGAUCACCAAUCAAAUGCAGUCUUAUCGACUAGACCAAAAGAGAACUCGAGGCCACAAAAAUUAACCAAAUCAGCUUUAGCUCAAGGAAUUUGUUCCAGUCCACAAGCCUCCUCAAACCAAGUCAUCCACUUUGUUGGAGGUACAAACUGAUUCUGAACUAAUUUUUGCCUCCCUUUGAGCAUUGUUAGAAGCACUUUCCUAGAGAAAACUACUGCACAUCUGCUCUAUUUUCUUAAGACAUUGGUUUUGUAGCAAGAAAAUAGAACAUCAAAACAUAACCGUGGAGUGUAUGACAUACUUCCAAAUGUUCAAUAUCCCUAUGAAAGAAACGUGCUUGAUAGUCCAAGAAGAAAACUGAGAGUUGAGCCUAUCUAACAAGGGUUGGUUGUCCUAUUUCCUGAGUUUUCGAGUAGUUAAUGGUACACCGAGACAACGAAUAGAGAAAGAGCCAUGUUGUAGACCAAGAGAUAAACGUUAUUGCCCUGCUCCUAUGACUCUAACAUCCAUCAAAGAAUACCACUAUUUUAGUCUUAUUUAGAAUUUUAGACCCAAACCAGAAACUUGCUUAAAAUCAUCAAUGAUUUGGAGAAACCUUUAAGUGAUGACUCCUCUCCAUCAAAGAAUAGGAGAACAUCAUCUACAAAGUUGAGAUGCAUUACUAGCGGAGCCUCACAUAAAACAUCUUUAUUAAACAUGAGAACCAAACAUUAAUGAAUCCCUUUUCAGGUAUUAUUUUGCUUGGGUUUGGUUUCAGUCAAUUAAGUUUUUCAAUUUUGUUACUAAACUGAACCAAAAUUUUCCGUUUUUCAAUUAAAUUAUGGCUAAAUUUGGAAAUUUACCGCUAAAUUUGUAUAGUGGUGGUUACAUUUCAUACUUCUAUUUUUGAGAAAAUUAGGUUCAGAUGCACAUUUCUGGUUAUCAAUUACACUAUCAGUCACUUUAUAACAUUCACACACUUUGAUAUGAUAAACCUAAAUUGCCCUCAGUCUAGUCUAAAUAUAUUACUAACUAUUAUUUAACCUGAGCACAACUUUUUUUUUUUUUAAUUUACAUGUUCAACAUCGAUAUUUUCCCUCAUCAUCUUUUUCACUUUCAGAACUUUCUUAUCUUUUUCUCAGUUUCAAUAACUCAAUUCCUAAUAGUGUUUGAGAAACCAAAACAUGAAGUCAAACCCAGUUUCAACAUCACAAACUCAGCUCAUACCCAACCGCCUCUACUUUGCUUCUAUUUUUGUUGCCUCCUUUAAAAAGACGGUAAGUCAACUUUUCAAGAUCUCACAUUUUUGUAAUAAGAGAUUUUGAAUUUUAUAUUUUUUGAUUGGUGAUUCUUUUUAAGAUUUUGUUGUUUCAAGAUGUUACAUUAUUAACCAUCCUCUAGUGAUUUUUUUUAAAAAAAUUUUAAUUGGUUUUUUAGAAAGGUGAGAUUUUUAUUAGUAUGCAAAAUGAUUAAUUUUUUUUCUAGAGCACAACUUUCAUUUCAUUAAGCAAACUCAAACAUUCGGACCAUAAUAGGAGAGAGAGUUGAUUAAAACUCCACAAACAUAAAACAUUACAACAUAAAAAAUAGCUAGAGCUCUUAGAUAGAGAAACAGUGAAUUCAAAGUAAAAGUUGAGUGCGUUGAAACAGUUUCACGGCACCGUCGGAAACUUGAGAUUUGGUCACUUUAAAUUGUGACAUUUGCAUUCAAUCCGCACCUCUGAAUAUUGUCAGGACAAAAUCCGUUGUAACUUUAGGCCCCGAAUGGACCGCUACACAAGAUAGCAAAACGGUUACAGAUAUGGAUAGACAAUUCCAUUUAAGGGAAAUACUCCUUAAAAGGACGCAAUAGAUGAAUAGAGAAAAAGGUUUGCUUCUCCAAAGAGAAGGAUGCUAGAGGUGAUCAAGAUGGUAACUCGUGGCCAUAAAAUUAUGUGCUGUGAAGUUAAUGGGCUGAGAACCCGAAGAAUAAAGUUCACUGGGCUUAUCAGGCUCAUAAUAACUAUGUGAUGGCCCACCAGCCCAAGAGAAGUAACGGAUUGACCUCGUUGGGAAGUGAAGAAUGGUGUAGCCAGAGCGGCGGCGACUGACAAGCGGUUGGGAUAGGUUCAGUGAGUGGAGAGACAUCGGAUUGGACCUCCGAUCUGCUGCUUGGUGUGGAUAGGAACAAAGCAGGCUGAAGCCCAAGAGUGUAGUAGGUGGAGACGGCGGAGAGCACAGAUGCAUGGACCAACAAGAAUCUGAAUCUGAAAAUCGAGUUAUAUGUGGAACCCCUCGAACACAGGAGGUCGAGACGUCGAAAAUUGUGGUUUGAAGUUGAGCUUGCGGUGAGGUUGACGGGAGGUUCUGUAAGCUGGAAAAGCACCAGAAUGGAGAGGUUGGGAUUUACAGAUCUGAGGUUUAGAAACACAGAUCUUAGUCGUAGUGGGGACGGACCAGAAAGGAGGAGACAGUGAGCAAAUGAGGUAAAUAGAUUCACAUAUCGGGAGCCUCCAGAGAAGAAAAAAACGGCUGUAGAAACGUUCGACCAAGUUGGAUCCAUCGGAGCAAUGGGUGACAGAAAACGUGAGCUUGAAACGAGAAGAGCUGCGAGAGGAAGACACGGAGGUGGAGAAGCCCGAUGCCGGCAAGCUGUGGCUCUACCGACAUCAUGAAGCAGCGGGAGAACUUGCACAUCAAUAUUCGGACCUGGCAGAGAGUAUAUGCAAGAUGAUUGAUUAGAUCUAAUUGAUCUUGAUAUGUGAUUGAUCAAUCUUUUGGACAUGGUCGAUGGUUUUUACUCGAAGGACCCUUGAUUGUAGCACGAAUUCACUUCCCAGGAUGGUCGAUGGUCUCAACCAUUGUCUUUAUCAGACUGAUAGAAAACAUAUCAAAAAUCUCCCGAUCACUGCCCAGAUCCACAACAACUAUUAUGUACAAUUCAGCGUCCAUAAUUUCACUUUCCAU